RNAcentral lists this long non-coding RNA (24434 nucleotides) under Zea mays. Its description in RNAcentral is "long non-coding RNA (ZMAY_LNC004675)". The record is from RNAcentral. Lineage: Eukaryota; Viridiplantae; Streptophyta; Magnoliopsida; Poales; Poaceae.
UCAAAUGGGUGUUUUUAUUAUUGUAUAUGGGGUUUAUAUAUGACCCCUCCGGUCAUCGAAGAAAGAAUGCAGCACGGAGUAUUUGGUAAAAAUUGAGCCACACGCAUCUCCAACAUUGGCGUCCGUGUGCGGCAUAUUUCUCCAAGUAUACAUUCCUGGCAUCUCGCUGAUCUCUUUGAUUAAAGCCGGCUAUUUAGACUCCUACACCUACAAUUCAUAGAGACAGAAAUAUUGUAAUAACAGUAGAAACCGGUACGGAUUAAAACCAAUCAUUAACCAAAGUAAAUGCCACUUUCUGCAUGCGUCCCCCCCCCCCCCCAAAAAAAAUAUAAAUCUGAGUAAACCAUUUAUGUAAAAAAAUAUUGGUAUUUUAAACUAAACAAUAUCUAUCAUAAACUGUUUAGUCUUAAUAAUUUUUGAUGGUAUAGAGUCUUAAAUAGUACUCACUCCGUUUUUUUUUAUUUAUCGCUGGAUAGUGCAAAAUUACACUAUCCAGCGACAAAUAAAAAGAAACGGAGAGAGUAGUAUUGUUUUAUUAACUUAGUCAAACAUAAAUUAGUUUAGCUCUAAAAAAGAAGAUGGAUCCUUCCCCAUUCUCCCGCAGAUCUUGAUAAGCUGUCCGGAGAAUAGAAAGAUUAUCCAUUCCUUUGUCCAGAUAGGAACGAUCAUUUCUAGCACAAACAUAGGGUGGAUCAAGAUAUAUAUUUAGGACUAGUUUGGUAACCUUAUUUUUCUACAAGAAAAAUAGUUUUUUCCCUUUAAAAAUGAGAAUCCCGUGAAAAAAUAGAGUUGUCAAACUAACUCUUACAUAAUGUUGAAAUGCUAAUAUUGGUCGUUUCAAAUUGUAUAUGGUUCUGAUUAUUCUAGAUAAACAUAUGCGUACGGGAUGCGCAACAAAACUAUAGGGGUGUUUGGUUUCUAGUGACUAAUUUUUAGUCCCUCAUUUUAUUCUAUUUUAGUCCCUAAAUUACUAAAUAUAGAAACUAAAACUCUAUUUUAGUUUCCCUAUUUAACAAUUUAUGAACUAAAAUGGAAUAAAGUGGAGGGACUAAAGUUUAGUCCCUAUAAACCAAACACCCCCUAUAUAAAGUCACGUAACAACUUAUAUUUCUUAAAAUGGAAACACUUUAAUAGCUUGGCAGCCCUAGCUCUGCGUCAGAAGCAGAACGUGCUAGAAAAGGAAAAAAAAGGAAGUUCAAACAUCCAAAUUCUAGGAGCUACCGUAUUUUUUUCCCAACCGGAUUAAUAUGGAACAACUCCUAAAAUGGAACUCCUUAAAACCCGCUUUUCAUGCUAGAUCAAGCGGUGGAAAUAAAACUAGGAAUCUUAUGUCUAGUGCCUAUACAUGUCCAAACGGGCCAGGCCGGCAGUGGGCCCGUGACCCGGCACGGUCGUGGCCUAGCACGAGCACGGUCUGGCCCGACUAGAGGUGUGCCCGGGCCGGCCCGGUACAAUAGCCGUGCCGGGCUUGGGCUAGCCGUUGGGCCCGCGGUGCAGGCACGGGCCCGACACGGUAAAUUGGUAGGCACGGUAACGGUCCGUUUGAGAGACUGAUUUUAUAACGGCCAGUCUAUUUUUAGCUAUAAUACUUAUGAUAUGUUAUUAUAUGAGAGCAUUCUGACUUGUGAUAUGUGUUUAUAUGUGUAUCUGAAAUUCUUUGUCUAAAUAUGUAUCUAAAAUUAUAAAUAUAAUUAAUUAAAUGUAAAAUAAAUUUGAAUAUUACCUUUAAAUUCUGAAUUUUGGAGUGUUUUUUUAUUUAUGGGACCGGGCCCAACCCGGCACGACAGGCCCGCUGUGCCUCCGGCCCGGCACGGCCCGUGUAAGAAUAACCGUGCCGGGCCCGGGCUGCGUUAGCCAGCCCGCGGGCCGGCCCGGCCCGGCACGAUACCGAACCGUGCCGGGCUUGGACUGAUGCCCCUCGUGCCGGGCCAAGCCGUGCCCGGGCCGGGCCGGCCCGACACGGCCCGUUGGACAUGUAUACCAGUGCCCCCCUGCAUCACUCUCUCCUAGGCGACUCGGGGGCAACCUGUCGGUGUUUUGGGUCCGACCGCACACCCGGAGUUGCCCCUCAAGGUGCUUUUAGGAGUAGGACGGUGUUACCGACUGUAGCUCAAUGGUUCGUGCAAGGUGCACGAGAAAUAGUAGACAAUGGUGUACAGGUUCGGGCCGCUUUGAGAUGCGUAACACCCUACGUCCUAGCGAGAAUGCUUUAUGUGGUGGAUUACAAGGGAGCUCUCUAAUGUUGGGAACGUAGAGAGUCGGGGUGGAUGGCUGAGUAGUGAGAUCGAUCGUUCUGAAGGGGUGCCCCCUAGGCCUUAUAUAUUCUACCGUGGGGCAGUACAUGCAGAUAUGAUGACAAUGCGCACCUAAGAAAUAGUGAAUUGAUUGAGUCUAUCUUCCUAUAGCUCUGCCGACUCAUCCUCGCUUGGUUCCGUUGUACGGGGCUCUAGCGCGGGAAAGUCGGGUCUCUGUUGUGGUUACUUGCUCGACGUUGAUGGGCCGUCUGGGCUCACACCGAUCCGGCCUUGUGUCGAUCUGCUUCACUGGUCAUUCCUCUCCAGGCCCACGAAGGGAUGACCUUACGAUUUAUUGGGCCCUCGGGCCUUUCGUGAGGUCUUUUAUCCUUCCGGUGGACCCGGGGGAUAUCUGUCCCCCACAAGCCCCGAUCUUUGGGUUGGUUUUGAAAUAAUCGGCCCAAAGAUCCUAGGUCCAGCUUGCGGUCUUCGUUUAUGACAGGAGAUGCUUCCCGGGUAGUCUGGUAAAAACGAUUUCUUACUGUCUCCUUCUGCUUUUAUCACUCGAAAACUGGUGUUCUGUCUCAAACUCGUGCUUUGGAGGUCAGCAUUUUGUACUAUAGGACCUUGAACUUUAUUGGGUGCACCGGGGGUGCACCCAAUGGGUGUAGCCCCCGAGCUUCGAGUGGAUUUUUGAAAAUAAUCCACUCGAAGGUCUUCACUUCGAGUAUUAUUUGAAAUUAUUUUUAUUUUCCGCUUGCACUUUGUUGGAGGUCAGCCUUGCUUUUGAUCUCGCCAUAUGCUUUAAAAGUUAGCAUUAUCUUGACUUGAAAUGACGAUCCAUUGGGUGCACCGGGUGUAGCCCCGGGCUUCGAGUGGAUUUUUGAAAAUAAUCCACUCGAAGGUCUUUAUUUCGUGCCCUUUUGCUGAGAAUCAUCCUCUCUUUUUUCGAAUGCCUUAGAGGUCAGCAUUAUAUCGUUGAUAUUAUGCUUUAGAGGUUAGCAUGUAUUUUGUCUUUGAGGCCGAGUUCAUGAUCUGUCCAUAUCUUGCUAGGUGGUGCAAUUUAUUUGAUCUGCGACUGAUUGGACGUUCGAUGGACGUCCCCUGGCUAGUCUUCAUGUCGCUUCUGUCGGUCAGACUUGUACUUCACCGGCUAUAUUUGGCUUUCCUUUGAUCCUUACUGAUAUCUCAUUUUUGUCUUGAGGUAUUCAUUGCAUGCCCUGCACGGAUGUGACAGUUUUGAAAAAUAUACUGAUAAUUCCUGGGCGUCCCCCCCAAUGGGUGUGGGCAAGGGACGGCUUGGUACGCUGAGUGUUUUAGCAGACUGUUUCUGAGUAGUAAUUUGAUGUGACCGCGGGUGUAAUCAUAUCACCCGCGCAGUUGACUGGAGUCCCAAUGGGUGUUGCGUUGCGUGAAGGGGCGUCAGCCGCCUGACGUAUCUUCAGACGAUUUGAAGUGCAUAUUGAAUUUUUGCGACUGUUCAGUGACCGUGGUAGGAGGUGAGCGGUUGCCUUCUUCUUCUAUAAAUAGUGCCUUUGCCUCUCCGGUUUUUUCACAUCUCUUGCUGCUUGUUUACUCUCCUCUUCUUCUCCCCUCUGCCACCAUGGGUAAAAGUAAGAACGGUAGCGGUUCUUCUCCUCGCUCUGGCGACAAACGCAAACGUGAGCCGACUCCUCCUUCGGAGGACUUCGGCGACUCAGAGUACUCGGAGGAGGAGUUCUCCUCCGAGUCCGAGGGAUCCUCGGCUCCCGUCUCUCCCCCGGCGUUGUCUGAUGAUUCAGACGACACCUAGGGGAUUGCCACGGAGGUCUGGACCUACAUCUGGGCCGUCGAGCGCUCCGGGCUCGAGGGUUCGAAUGAGUCGGAGUACUCCUCGGAUGAGGAGGACUCCUCGGACUUGUCCGAGGAGGACAGCAGCGGCGACAGUGGUGAUGGCGGCGACGACGGGGGCGACGGUGACGGCAGCGGCGACAACGGCAAGGGCAGCGACAGCGGCAGCAAGGGCGACCAUGGCGGCGGCAACAAGGGCAGCAGAAAGGGCAGCAACAAGACCAGUGGCUAGAUGCCACUGGUUUUUUAGAUGUUAGUAUAGAUUAGAAGUAGUAUAAUGAAAUAAUGUAGCAGUAGUUAGUAGUAUAGAGUAGUGUAGUGUAAUGUAGUAGUAGGGAGGUUAUCAACUCAUAAUGAGUUGGUUUGUAAGUUCGGUAGUUUCCCUUUAUAAUGAAAAGUGAUUUCGCUCCACUUCUGCAUGUGUCAUGCUGCUUUCUCGUUAUAUGCCAAUCAAUGCGCGAGGAGUAUCUGUGAUCAUCAAAUCGCUUUUCUAACUGCUUUAUUUGUAAUGAUGACGCUUCGGAGGUUGCAACCGAGUCAUCCGAAAUCCCCUUCGUUGCUUUUAGGAAUGACGACCGAGUUACGGUGGGUCGUGCCGGUAUCUUUUAGAUGUAUUCAGCCGAGUGAUUAAUGGCAACAUCGGUGUUUUUAGAGGUAACAGCCGAGUGACUUACGGUGGCAUCGGCGUUUUAGAGGUAACAGCCGAGUGACUGACGGUGGCGUCGGCGUUUUAGAGGUAACAACCGAGUGAUUAAUGGCAACAUCGGCGUUUUAGAAGUAACAGCCGAGUGACUGACGGUGACGUCGGCGUUUUAGAGGUAACGGCUGAGUUAGAACGGGCCGCGUCGGCCGUUUUGGAAAUAACGGCCGAUCGAUGACAUGGCACGACAGCGUUUUUAGAAAUAACCGCUGGGUGAUGAUUGGACGCUUUUUGGAAACAGUAUCUGGCCAGGAAAAACCCCAUAUGUACUGCAUCGUUGCGCGCUUCUGCUUUUCGUGCCCUAAUUCUUGCUUUUCUGCAUCCAAGCUUUCCUUGCGCUCGUGCGAUACUGCCUUCGUCCUGCUCGCCGGCGAGAUUGAGAUGGCGCCCAAGCGGAAAACAUCAGGUUCAUCCGCUGCUGUCAUUCCUCCCAUCGAUCCCAACAGCCAGUUGCCUUUCGCAGGUAACCAUAUGUCAGUUGUUUCUGAGUCUGAUCUUCUCCACCUCACGUCCAUUGGGGUUCUUCCCCCGAAGGAGCUCUGUUCUUGGCGGGUUUGUCAUGGGGUCACUGUUCCAACAGAGGACACCCACGAAUCUGUCGUAUAUGUUCCUUUUCUUCUCCGUGGUCUUGCCCUUCCUGUUUCUCCUUUUUUCCGUGGCCUCCUUGAUUUCUAUCACUUGAAUCUGACCCAUCUAAACCCUAAUUCCAUUCUGCAAAUCUCCAUCUUUGUUCAUUUAUGUGAGGCCUUUCUUGGCAUCCUGCCACACUUUGGGCUGUGGAAAUACUUGUAUCACUGUCGGCCUGGGAUGGCCGGAGGACAACAUCAGCUGGUGGGGGGCGCGAGCUUAGAAAUGCGUCGCGGAAGAAAAACUGAUUAUCUCGAUAUCCCCCUCAAAGAUAGCAUUAAAGGAUGGCGCUUGGAGUGGUUUAUUGUUGAGAAUCACGGAAAUUCUCUCCCCCGCAGUCAGGGAGACAGCCAGACGUUUGCACUCCGAGCUGGACUGAAUCCCCCACAGACCAGGAUGUGGCUGAGGCAGGAGUUCUGCUAGCUGAAGUUGGAUUGUUGAAGGAGAGGGGUGUGACUGCAGAAGCUGUGGUUGCUGACUUUGUCUUCAAGAACAUUCAGCCAUUGAAGGAUAGGGCAUACCCGGCCUACCUGUACCGAGGUCUAGCUGAUUCCACCCGGGUCACCAAUAGAAGAAUUCCUGUUGUGGACUUGGUGAGCCGGCUUGAAAUGAUACUUAGGGGCAAGGUGUCAAAUGUUGGUGCCCCUGUUGCCUACUCGGCUUGGAACUUGCCUCCUUCCAAGGCCUUUACCCAUUUCGUGUCAAGUCCUCCUGCUGGCGAUGGCGGUUUGGGCCUUAGAGUGCGACCCUCUGCCGAAGAAGUUAGUGUGUUGGUUGCUUCGCUUGAAGGAAUUCCUGAUGAUGAACGACAGGUUCAUUUUGAGGUGCCUUUGGAUCCCAGUGAUGCAGAGAUAAGUGCCAUGCUUGAUAUGUUAGCCGAAGAUUCUUCUGAUGCCGCUCCUGCUAGGACAUCAGUGGUGGCGCCUCUCCCGGAAGCUGGUAAAACCUUGGAUAUUCAGAGGCCUGUCAGUGUUCGCCCGAAGUGCCCUUGCCGAGUCAAUCAACUUGAUUCUCCUGCUGAUUAGCAGAAAAAGAAAAAGAGACAUCUUCGACGAGUAUCUAGCUUGGAUCGGGAUGGUGGUCCUUCGGUUCCUGCUGUUGAGGAAGUGCCUGUGCCUGAGUUUACCGACGCUGACCCCAAUGGGUGUGAUCCAUCUGUCGCUGAUCCCAAGGGGUGUGAUCUAUCUGUGGCUGAUCCCAAUGGGUGUGCUGUCUGUGUUGCUGAUGAAAAUGAGGAGGAGGAAGAAGAUGAGAUCCCUCUGACUCGGAAGAACAGUCGGCGAUAUGUAGCCAGUGGGGAAAGUAGUGGAGUUCCUUCUCCUGCUCUGUCUGCCCUCAUUGGUCUACAAGAAUUGUCUCUGGCGAACUUUGAUCAGACACUUGAAGAUAUGGUUCCAGAGGAUCUGUUAUCAGAGCCGGCAGAUGGUGACGCGAUGGAUGUUUGUGCUGAUGUGUUCGACGCCAGGUUGGGGUCAUCCCGGGCAGCGUCCUGCGCCUCAUCGACCUUGGAGCGCGGUCUUGAGGGUCAGGAAACUGACUUGGACUGUCCUGCUCCCAUGGAAGUGACUGAGGGACCUUCAGCCUUAGAGGCGGCUGCUGCAGAGAACUUGGCCCUCAAGGAUGGUGUUGACACUUACCCAGCCCCCGAGGGUGUUGCCGGGAUGAUUCGGCUCGGGUGGGAAGCGUAAGCCGUGACCCAGCCCCCGAGGGUAUUGCCGGAGACGAUCCGGCUCAGAUGGGUAGCGCAAACUAUGACCCAGCCCCCGAGGGUGCCCGAGCGGGGUCUCCCUCUUGUACUUCCAUGGAUGUUCACGCAGGAUCUCCUCCACACUCUGGUUGCAUGGUGGUAGCCCAAGCUUUUGGUCAAGGAGUCGCUUUAUAGGCUAGCGUUCCUGUCGACAAAGUUUUGGGCUCUGCUGAUGACACUGAAUUGGUUCCUGCUGGUUCAUUGCAAGUUGCUCCGGAUGGUGAUCCUACGCCAAGCUAUCAAUUGAUUUCUCACGAUUUGGGAGUCCCCUCAUUCUUCUCCAACCUCUAGGUACUAUGGUCUAUUCUAGUCUGACUUUUACACCGGAUGAACUGCUGUCAUUACACUCAUCUGCUCUCAAUAUCAGGCGUUGGUGGACGGGAUGGCUAGUCAGCUGAAGUUGUAAGGUGCUUCUGUUCCAGAAAGAGCUUCGUCUCUGGCACGUUGGAAUCCGGUGCUGCUUCAACAGCGUGUUUCUGACUUAGAGGCGGCGGAUGCUGGUUAGUGCUUUUCUGCUUCCUUUCGUCUAUCUUAUUAAACUGCUUCUUAAUCUAAACUUUUUGCUUGAUUGUUUCUUGCUAGAUAUGGCUCGGUAGUUUUCUGUUCUUGAAGAAAAACAUUCUCAAAAUCAGGCUGAAUUGGUCCGGCGGUGCUCUGAUUUUGAAGAAAAGUAUUCCCAAAGUCAGACUGAGCUGGCCCAAGUUUCUGCUGCUCUGAACGAUGCCAACAUGUUGAACUCUACUCUCCACGCUCAGCUUGAUUCUGAAAAGGUGACCUGAAAACCCGAGCUUUGUUUUGCCAUGUUCUUAUUGCUUGCUCGACGUUUGAAGAAGUUAAUUCUUGUUUGCAGGAAGAAAAACGUGUCCUUGUUGCUUCUCGUGACAAUCUUGACAAGCUAUAUCGCGACUCCAGCAACUCGUUGACCAUCCUGGAGAGGAGUCAUCGCUUCACCAUGGAGGAGUUAGACAAUCAUCGCUGUAAGCUGCAGGAGUCUUCAGAUGACGUGAUUCGUCUCAGGCAGUCGAUAUCGGCCAAGGAUGCUGUCAUCAAGGAACUGUGUGCUUCCAAGAAGUCCCUCACCCAGGAGCUAGAAACCGCUCAGUUGGCUAUCAAGGUUGCUGAAGAGACUUCCGUUACUAUGAGGGCCCAGCGCGAUAGAGCCAUGGAUAAAGUCAUUCGCGCAGGGCGGAUCUUGAUGAGGAGACCCGGUGUGAUUGUUCCUGACGAUAUAAGGGCUGAUGUGAACGCUGCUCCUGAUUCCUCAAGUCGCCCUUCUUCGUCGGUUGCCCCUGAGAAGAAUGUUGCAAAAUAGAAAAACAUUGCGUGCUUUGAGCGCGCGGUUAUCGUGCUCGGAUAUUUUGUUAGAGGACACCAGCUUGACAUUUGAAUGCUACUGUUAUUCUCCUAUCAUUUUAGAAUUCAGUAGUAUCUAAAUUUGCAGAAAUAAAAUGCUGUAUGAUGAUUUUGAAACUUUUUCACGGGACAUAGAGGUCGCCCGUAUAUGAGUAAUCGUAAGCAUGUGGAACCGUCUUAAGUCGUUGCUGACUUAAACCGAUUGCUUUUGUUAAUAGGGCAUAGUAGUAAUCCCGAGUUAAGUAAGCGCGAGCAUGUUGCACCGUCUUAAGUCGUUGCCGACUUAAGCCGAUUGCUCCGUUAGCAGGGCAUAGUGGUCACCCCGAGUUAAGUAAGCGUGAGCAUGUGGCACCGUCUUAAGUCGUUGCCGACUUAAGCUGAUUGCUCCGUUAGCAGGGCAUAGUGGUCACCCCAGGUUAAGUAAGCGUGAGCAUGUUGCACCGUCUUAAGUCGUUGCCGACUUAAGCCGAUUGCUCUGUUAGCAGGGCAUAGUGGUCACCCCGAGUUAAGUAAGCGCGAGCAUGUUGCACCGUCUUAAGUCAUUGCCGACUUAAGCCGAUUGCUCCGUUAGCUGGGCAUAGUGGUCACCCCGAGUUAAGUAAGCGCGAGCAUGUUGCACCGUCUUAAGUCGUUGCCGACUUAAGCCGAUUGCUCCGUUAGUUGGGCAUAGUGGUCACCCCGAGUUAAGUAAGCGCGAGCAUGUUGCACCGUCUUAAGUCAUUGUCGACUUAAGCCGAUUGCUCCGUUAGCAGGGCAUAGUGGUCACCCCGAGUUAAGUAAGAGUGCAGGUCGACCAUGAACAAUAUGGGUAUUCUUGAGGUCUCUUUAUUGAUGAUAUAUUUCCAGUUUACAUAGUACAUUGUCGUCCCGAUAGCUUUUGAAAUACAGCUAGGGGUAAAAUUUCCUGAGGUGUUCUAUGUUCCAUGAGUUUCCAAUUUCCGUGCCAUCCAUCUGAGUGAGACGAUAUGAUCCCAGCCGAGUGACUUCUGCUACUAUGAAUGAUCCUUCCCAUAAAGGUGACAACUUAUGUCGUCCCUCCCCCGUUAGAAUUCGGUGGAGGACGAGGUCUCCCACUGCAAAGGAUCGACGUCGCAUGGCCUUAUCGUGGUAACGCCUCAAAGUUUGCUGGUACCGCGCUGAUUGAAUUACUAUAUUUAGUCGUUCUUCUUCGAGUAUAUCAAUAUCCUCCAGCCUAGUAGCCUCGGCUUCUGCUAUGCUUUCAAAGAUCAACCUUGGCGCCCCAAACUUGAGGUCAGCAGGUAGUACUGCCUCUGACCCAUAGACCAUGAAGAAAGUAGUAUUUCCAUGCAGAGCUCGACUAGGUUGGGUUCUUAGGCUCCAAACGACGUAGGACAACUCCCUUAUCCACUUUCCUGCAAACUUUUCGUUUUUAUCGAAGACUUUCUUCCUGAGUGCCUCCAAUAUCAUCCCGUUAGCUCGUUCAACCUGCCCGUUGGCUCUUGGGUGUGCCACCGAAGCAUAUUUGAUCUGAAUGCUUUUUUGCUCGCAGAAAUCGAAGAACUCUGAACUUGUGAAGUUGGAUCCUAGGUCAGUUAUGAUACUAUUUGGUAUUCUGAAUCUGAAUAUUAUGUCUUGUAUGAAUUCCACGGCCUUAGCUGAGGUUAAAGAAGCAAUGGGUUUGAAGUCUAUCCAUUUGGUGAAUUUGUCAAUUGCUACCAGUAUAUGAGUGUAUCCUCCUUGAGCUUUCUUGAAAGGUCCAAUCAUAUCCAGUCCCCAGCACGCGAACGGCCAAGUUACUGGUAUGGUCUGCAGUUGCUGUGCUGGUAGAUGUUGUUGCUUUGACAAGUACUGGCAGGCUUCGCACCUCUGAACUAACUUGGCUGCAUCACUUUUCGCUGUUGGCCAAUAGAACCCCGACCUGAAGACCUUCCCAACUAGUGUCUUGGAUGCUGCGUGUAUUCCACAUUGCCCAGCAUGGACCUCAUCUAGAAGUUGCUUCCCAGUAGAUGAGAGAAUGCAUUUCAUGAGGACGCCCGAGGCACCCCUUCUGUAUAAUGUUUCCCCAAUGAGUGUCUAGUGAGCUGACUGUCUAGCGAUGCGCUCGGCUGCAUUUUUGUCAUAUGGUUCCUCUUCAUUCUUUAUAUAUCUGAUGAUUGGCCUUCUCCAGUCAUCAGAAUCUGACUCUGGUUGGCUCAUGGUAUUACAUUCCUCUGCCUGAUCUGAUGAAAUGCUUGGGUGUGGUAUUUCUUGUACAAAGACUCCAGGUGGGACCUGAGUUCGACUGGAUCCUAGCUUGGACAAUACAUCAGCUGUCGUGUUUCGAUCUCUUUCUACAUGGUGAAAUUCUAGACCUUCGAAUUUGUCUUCUAGUUUCCGGACGGUGGUGCAGUACUUUCCCAUUGAAUCGCUCGAACAGUCCCAUUCUUUGUUUAUCUGGCUUAUGACUACCAAAGAAUCUCCGUAUACCAUCAGUCUCUUGAUGUCUAGUGAUAUAGCAAUGUUCAGUCCAUGAAUCAGAGCUUCAUAUUCGGUUGCGUUGUUAGAGGCUAGAAAUAACAACUGGAGGGCAUAUUUGAGGUGCUCGCCUCCAGGUGCGGUAAAGAGGAUCCCCGCGCCUGCUCCCUGCAGUUUUAACGAGCCAUCAAAAUACAUUCGCCAUACUUCUGCGGUUUCUAGGUUAUCUGGUACUUGUUGUUCAGUCCAUUCUAAUACGAAAUCAACCAAUGCUUGAGUUUUGAUGGCAGUGCGAGGUCGAAAUUCAAUGUCAUGAGAUCCCAGCUCGCAGGCCCACUUGGCUAUUCUGCCAAUGGCUUCCUUGUUGUGAAGAAUAUUCCCUAUCGGAAAACCAGUGACUACUAUGACUUUGUGGUCGUCAAAGUAGUGACGUAGUUUGCGUGCAGUUAGAAGUACUGCAUAUAAUAGCUUCUGAACUUGAGGAUACUUUUUCUUUGAGGGACCCAGAACUUCACUGAUGAAAUAAACAGGAUGUUACACUGGGUAGGCAUGUCCUUCUUCUGCUCGCUCGACUACCAACGCGGUGCUUACCACGUGAGUCGUGCAAGAGAUAUACAGCAGCAAACCUUUAGCUGGUUGAGUUGACGUGGCUCGCCGUGGCGGCUUCAGCACUAGUGGUGUCGUCAAGAAAUUUUUCAGUGCAUCUAGGGCUUCCUGUGCUUCUGAAGUCCACUGAAACUUAUCCACCUUCUUGAGUAGCUUAUAAAAUGGUAAGCCUUUUUCUCCCAACCUGGAUAUGAAUCUGCUCAGGGCUGCCAUACACCCGGUAAGUCUCUGAACUUUCUUUUGUGAUCGCGGCGCCUCCAUUUUCAUGAUAGCUUCGAUCUUAUCCGGAUUAGCUUCAAUUCCCCGGUGGCUGACAAUAAAUCCGAGUAGCUUUUCUGCUGGUACCCCAAAGACACAUUUUUCGGGAUUAAGCUUCCAUCGAUAUCGCCGUAGACUGUUGAAAAACAGCUGUAAGUCUUCGAUGAAAUUUUCCGAGUUCUCCAUUUUGAUUACCACAUCAUCUACAUAGGCUUCCACACGCUUGCCCCAGUGAUCGGCUAAGCAUGUUUGAAUGGCUCUCUGAUAAGUCGCUCCAGUAUUUUUGAGGCCGAACGACAUGGAGGUAUAGCAGAAAGCACCGAACGGAGUGAUGAACGCUGUUUUUUCCUCGUCUUCUUUUGCCAAGCUAAUAUGAUGAUAUCCGGAGUAGCAAUCCAGGAAAGACAGCACAGAACAUCCAGUGGUGGAAUCUACCACCUGAUCUAUCCUAGGAAGCCCGAAGGGAUCCUUUGGACAGUGUUUGUUGAGAUCCGUAUAGUCGACGCACAUGCGCCAAUCCACUUUAUUCUUUUUGAGUACAAGAACAUGGUUGGCUAACCACUCAGGAUGUAACACCUCUCUAAUAAACCCAGCCGCGACCAAGCGGGCCAGCUCAGCGCGAAUGGCCUCUCUCUUGUCGGGCGUGAAGCGACGUAGUUUUUGCCGAAUCGGCCUCGCCUGGGGAUAAACCUUCAGUUUAUGCUCGACCAGUUCUCUCGGGACUCCCGGCAUAUCCGCAGGUUGCCAUGCGAAUAGGUCUCGGUUAUCUUGUAGAAACUGGACGAGCGCGCCUUCCUAUUUGUCAUCCAGGCUGGAGCUGAUGAUGGCAGUCUUGCGUUCAUCAGCGAACACCAGGUUGAUCCUUUUGGUUUCUUCGGUCGGCCGCAUAGAGAUCGCGGCUUGUGCUUCAUUUGCGGGUACCGUAAGAUCUUCCUUAGGCUUAGAGUUUGCCUGUACAGAAGAAGUCGCUGACGGUUUGGUGGUGAGGGCCGCCUGGAUGGCCACUCGGAAACAUUCUGCGGUGCCUUGGAAGUCAGCGCGCACAGUUAUGAUUCCUUGCGGCCCUGACAUCUUCAAUAUCAUGUACGUGUAAUGCGGAAUGGCCAUGAAUUUUGCCAAUCCCAGCCUCCCGAUGAUGGCGUUGCACCCGCAGUCGAAGUUCGCCACUUCGAACCUCAGGAACUCGGUUCUGUAGUUCUCCGGAGUUCCGAAGGUGACUGGCAUGUAGAUGUGGCCCAGCGGGUAUUCUCCUUUAGUCGGCACGAUGCCGAAAAAAGGAGUAUCUGACUCGUGGAGCUCUUUAAGGUGAACUCCCAAGCCUUGGAGUGUCCGGGGGAAGGUGACGUUGAUGCUGCUCCCCCCGUCCACUAAUACCUUCUUCACCCUGCUCUCUCGGAUCACCGGAUCGACGAGGAGCGGGUAUUUUCCCGGGUGGUCGAAGUUGAGCCAUUGAUCUGCUCGAGUGAAGGUGAUCGGGUGCUCCGACCAUCGGUACGGAGCGGGAGGACCGGUUGUCGCCACCAGUAUUUGGCGAUCGUUGAGCUUUUGCUGUCUUCUGUUCUCUUGCAAUCCGUGUCCGCCGAAGAUGACGUUGACCUCUCUGUCGACGCGCGGGAAGGCUCCACCUUCUCCCUCCUCCUGUUGCUGAGGUUGUCGCGGUUCUCCUGGUCCUCCCCGCGGCGGAGGAAGAGGUAAAGGUUGGAAGGGCCGGCCGUGUCCGACGGAGUGCUUGAAGUCUCUGCAGUUCUGAAGGGUGUGGCGCAUGUCCUUGUGGUAUGGGCACUGGGCGUCGAGGAUGUCGUCCAGCGUGCGUUCGCCUCCACGAGGUCCUCCCCGGGCGCGAGAGGCAGGUGGUCCAGCAGCGUGUACUUCUUCGCGAGGCCUCUUCUCCCAGCGUUUGUCGGGUUGCUGGUUCGUAUCGCGUCGUGGUGCUGCUGGUGCAGGCUUCGCUCCUCCGAUGAGGUCCUGAGCUCGCUCGUCGGCGGUGAUGUAGAGGUCGGUUUCCUGGAACAGUUGCUCGGAGGUAGUCGGCGCCUUCUGUAAUAUGGCUCGGACGAAAGCCGAGUCGUUGGAUCCUCUGUAGAAGUCCUCGAUCACGGCCACCUCCGUGACCUCGGGGAUACGAUUUCUCAUGGUCUGGAACCUUUUGAGGUACGACCGAAGAGUUUCGUCCCCCCGGCGCUUGAUGGAUUUGAGGUCCCAUGGUUGCGCGGGUUUGUCGGAGAGGGACUGAAAGUUGGCAGUGAAGCGUCGACUGAAGUCGCUCCAGUCGUCAAUGCAGUGUCGGGGUAGAUGUCGCAGCCAUUGCAGCGCGUCUUGCCCGAGGACGAUGGGUAAGUACGCGGUCAUCACGUCCUCGGAUGCCCCGGCAGCUCGAGCAGCGGUGGUGUAGACGGCCAGCCAGCCUCCUGGAUCCUGCUUAGGUUCAUAUUUGUCGACAUUGGAUACCUUGAAGUUAGGAGGCCAUUGAAUGGCCCUAAGGCGUGGAGUAAGAGCAGACACUCCACACGUGUCUUCUUGUCGUCGGGGACGAUGUCUGUUCCGGGGAGGGGAGUAGUUGUCGUGGUGCCUCGACCGUCCCCGGGUGGUUCCACCAGUCGAGGCCGUUGCCGACUCGGUUCUGGUGGCCUGACUUCGAGCUGGGAUGUCGUGGUCCCUGUCGUAUUCUUCCCGGCGGUGGAUCUCGUUCUCAUGUUGUCGUUCACGCGAGGCGUUGAUGAAGCUUCGCGCGUCCCGACGGCUGUUGAUGGUGUGUCGUAGGUCAUUCGGCGGGUGAGCGAGAGGUAGAAGAUGGUUGGCUACUUGAGUGAAUAGUCGUCGAUAGCCCUCGGCGUCGGGAGUCCGAGGGAGUCCAUCAGCUAUCCGAGCCAGUACCCCUCCAACUUCACUCGGCGUGUUCAUGGCCCGGGCGAAGUCGGGGUUCAGGUUGCGCCCGAAGAGUGGAUUUUCCCGACGCUGCCUUGCCUUCUGCUCAGCUUGUUCCUGAGCCCGUCGGCGAUCAUGCCGUCGGGAAUUCCUCCGCUCUCUGAAGACACGUUCCUCCGGAGUUUCCCCUAUCUCCGAGACCUCAUCUCACGAGACAGGCUGCUCCGGGUCCCGCUCUCCGGCCUCGUGAUGUCGCCGGAUAUUUCGGCGUCGGUUCCUUCGUCGGCGGGAUUCCCGCUGAGGAGGUUCCUCUCCAGGUGCGGUCGGUUCGUCGUCGGAGAUGGGGGGCGACUCCACUCUCCCGAUGAAGAGGACGUCGGGGUAGAAUGGUGCGGCUGUCGGGGCGAUCUUCUUUUCGUUCUCUUUUGAGGGCAGAGGCACGGAAAGAACGACUUGCUUCCUCCCGGUUUUAUUUGUUUCUUUCUUCCUUGCGAUUUGUGUCCAUUCUUUCGUCGGGGAGGUAGACAGUGGAGUUCUCCGGGUCAGCGUGCCCUCGGCCCCCGGCUUGCUGAAGGCGGUCUUUCUUCGGAGCGCUGGAGGUUGCGCUUUUCCCUGCCUUACUCUGACAUUUUCGGAGGUUGUUGGAAGAGACUUCUUCCUUGGCGGGUCUGCGAUGCGAUGUAGAGUUCCUUCUUCAUCUGCUAUGGAUGAGAUAGUUCCGAAGCAUAAUACGGAUCCGGGGCGGAGGGUGAUCUUGUGCUGGAAGGUGACGACCAUUGAGCUAGCUUAGAUCGGCGACACACCCCCUACCUGGCGCGCCAGUUGUCGGUGUUUUGGGUCCGACCGCACACCCGGGGUUGCCCCUCAAGGUGUUUUUAGGAGUAGGACGGUGUUACCGACUGUAGCUCAAUGGUUCGUGCAAGGUGCACGAGAAACAGUAGACAAUGGUGUACAGGUUCGGGCCGCUUUGAGAUGCAUAACACCCUACGUCCUGGCGAGAAUGCUUUAUGUGGUGGAUUACAAGGGAGCUCUCUAAUGUUGGGAACGUAGAGAGUCGGGGUGGAUGGCUGAGUAGUGAGAUCGAUCGUUCUGAAGGGGUGCCCCCUAGGCCUUAUAUAUUCGACCGUGGGGCAGUACAUGCAGAUAUGAUGACAAUGCGCACCUAAAAAAUAGUGAACUGAUUGAGUCUAUCUUCCUAUAGCUCUGCCGACUCAUCCUCGCUUGGUUCCGUUGUACGGGGCUCCAGCGCGGGAAAGUCGGGUCUCUGUUGUGGUUACUUGCUCGACGUUGUUGGGCCGUCUGGGCUCGCACCGAUCCGGCCUUGUGUCGAUCUGCUUCACUGGUCAUUCCUCUCCAGGCCCACGAAGGGAUGACCUUACGAUUUAUUGGGCCCUCGAGCCUUUCGUGAGGUCUUUUAUCCUUCUGGUGGACCCGGGGGAUAUCUGUCCCCCACACAACCCCAACCCUAACGCCGCCACACCCACUGCACCCCUUCCCCUGUCGCGCCGCCAUCAGAGUGAGUCGCCCGAGAACCGCACGACUGGCGAGGAGGGCGGCGACGAGGCUUUAGUCCCUUCCUGAAGUCGGGAGGCAUGUUGUGGCCCGGCUAUGGCUUCGACUCCGCCGUGGCCAUGUCGGCGCGCACGGCGAGGUGGUGCAUGUUGGUGCUGCCCGCGGAUUCGUCGGUGACAUGCACACACGCAAGGUCAGCGGCCUUCGCGUGCCAACCGUUCGAGGUGCUGGCAGGCUGGUCCUAGAGCCAACACAUGAACCCGGCACCGUCGACGAAGGCCACGGGAAGGCGGUGCUCGAGGGCCAGGCGGUGACCCCCGAAUUUGGUGGCAUGGUGGUGCGAGUCGGCGACUCAUCGUGGCAGAUCCAUGAGGGCUGUGUCAGCUGGGGUGGAGUUCGGCGCUGGGGCGACUUUCGAGGAUAGCGUCUGGCCUGUUUUUGCCUAAGCAAGAGGAGGGAAGACCGCUGUGGGUUGUAGAUCCAUAGGGAGGAGCCCAGCUGGGGGUGAUUCCUCGGGGGCCGCGGCAGUCGGGGUGGAGUUUGGUGAUGGUGUGGCUUCUAGGGACGGAGUGGUGCCCGACGCUGGCGUGCGGCUGUCGGGGAUGGGCGUCGUUCUGCGGAGCUAGCCCUGAUGCCACGACGAUGCUCAUGGCUGGCCGUUUUUGCCUGAGCAAGGGCCGGGGCAGCCGCGACGGGUUGAGUGGAGAUGUCUAGUGGCACGGCGGGAUGCGCCGCAGGGUGACACGGUUGACCGGAAUGGCAGUGGCGGGACCUCCUUUCGUCUGCUGCAGUAACGACCAGUGGAUCGAGCUAGCACAUGGUGGUGGCGGCGACAGGGUGCCUGACAACAGCUGGUUGUGGUGGCUGUGUGUGCUAGAGCUUACGGCGGCAACCGACAUCGGCUCUGGUGCGCCAGUGUGAUGCACGCGACAAGAUAUUGUCUGGUUCUGUGUGCCCAGCCGGAGGGGUGGUGGAUGACACGGCUUUGCGGCUGCUGCGGCAGCCGGCGCGUCGAUGCCCCUCUAGAGGGGUUUGUGCGGGAUGUCAAGGCGACGGUGCAUCUUGGCGUGUUGAUGUGCUGGGGGCAUCUUGGGCGAAAGCCUCGACGACGGUGACAUAUGUGGGUGCCGCAUCCCUGUCGAGGGUGUCGCAUCCUCCAGCAAUGUCUUCCUUGGGCGAAAGCCCGAUGCAUAUCGGACACACGACAGUGUCAUCCCCGACGUCACUACCUUCUUGAAGGCGUCGCAUUGAUGUUCGUAUCGACCACGACAUCCCCUUUCGGUUGUUGCUUUCGCUUCUCGCCGUCUAGUAUGUGGGUCAAGGUGGGUUUUUGCAACAUGAAGUCGAAGCUGCUACAUCAAGGGAUGUGACUCGACAACGAUGACAGGUGGCGAACCCCCCCUUCUUUGUGGACUUGAUUGUUUCAUAGGUUGGGCAAUUGCCUGGGGUGGGACGGAGGAUUGAGCUCGUUGGUGUAGAAUCAGAGCUACCUCACAUAGGAUGUGUUGAGGCUUCGCAACGACGACGCACCGCGAUCUUGCUCCUUUUGUGUUGGUGUUUGGGUGUAGGCAUCAUCGUGUUUUCUUUGGCCGUGUGCGGCCCGUCUUGCGGAGUCGAAGCUGCUUGUCCCUUGUGUCGAGCUCAGCAACGAUGACUAUGGAUGGGUUGUAUGUGGGAGCUGACGUUGCCUGGCCUGUUUGUGCACUCUGCAUAGGUUUCAGGCUCGAUUUUUCUUAAAAUUGAGUCAAUUAUAUUCUUUUUUUAAUUAAAAGGUAGAGCUCCUGCCAUUACGUUCAAAUGCUAGAUCAAGCUAAAAGCACUAGUUUCACUUAUGUCACUCUCUCAGUCUAUUCAAUCUAGUAUACGAGAAGUAUGGAAAACUGUUCUACCAAAUGCUUUUAUAUAACAACUUCAACCUAGCUAUUUAUUAGGCUAAAGAAAUAAAUUCACGUUCGCUUGGCUUUAAUCCGUACUGGCUUUUAUUAUUGUUUUAUCUCUAUAGAUUACAGUUGCAGCAGUAAGAACACCUGAUUUUAAUCUAAAGUAUUCUAAUAAUAAUACAGAAUUAUACUAAACAAGACCUGAUUCCUGAUUCUUAAGCCUGGUUGGUUUACGUUGAUAUAGCAACAGCACUAUUCCGGCCGCUGCAUCAAAAUUUAAAUCAAGACGCACGGCACUUUCAUCGAACAAUGAGAGGCAGCUCUGGCUGGUGACGAGAGACACGAUCACACGAACGCGACAAGUCGACCUCGCUCUCCUCACUUCCUCACUCUAUGGCAUCGGCAAGUCUCACCUUCGCGCUUCGCGGCACCUUCCUGACUUCGGUGCUCCCACCUCUCAUUUCCCGCGAGCACACUGUGCAACGCCGGCCCGGCCCAGCCCGGCACACAUUGCGUCUGUCUCUAUAUAAGAAUGGCGGACGCUAGCGAGCAACUCUGCCCAAACCGCACCAACGGCCAACGCACAAAAAACCAUUCUCAGCCUCCUCUCCUACUCGAGCAGCUAGCCCAGUCAAUCAUUCUGCUUGGAUUGGAUCCACCUUGUCUCUGAAAAUAGCUUCGAGACCUUAGCGCCCAAGAAACGGUGACCGACCGUCCCUGCGCUAGUAGCAACAGCAACAAUGGCGGCGAAGCACCUCCACGACGGGUACGAGCAGGACGGCGACCAGCCCGGCGACAACCGCAUGCGCCGCCUGCCGUCCUUGUCGACGUACGGGAGCCGCGUGCCUUCUUUCUUUCAUCUCCCGAGCUGGCUCUCGCUCUUGCUCCCCCUCUGUUUUCGUUAAUGGCCGCUCGAUCGGACUGACUGUUCGCGAUCCACGAAUUGCAGGGUGAUUCGGGAGGCGAUGAUGCAGAAGGAGAUGCAGAACCUGCUCAGGUGUCUGGAGCCUCUCAUCCGCCGAGUGGUAAGCGACGGCCGGCCGACCGGCCGGCUCGAUUCCCAUUUCUUCCUGCGAGCGAAGCAAGCAGGCGUCGUGACCGGCUCCGUGUCUCGUGGUCACCGUUGGUGGCUUGGUGCAGGUGCAAGAGGAGGUCGAGGCAGGGCUCAGGCUCAUGCAGAGCCUGCGCUACAUCGAGAGGGCGCCGGCGGAGACGCCGGCGGCGGAACGGGCGGCGUGGAAGCUGGCGUUCCGGACGCCGCCGCAGCUGCCGAUCUUCACGGGCAGCAAGAUCGAGGGCGAGGCCGGGAGGCCGCUGGAGGUGGUCCUCGUGGACGCGUGCACCGGCUCGCCCGCCGCGCCCCCGGUCCCGCGGGCGCUGCGCGUGGAGCUGGUCCCGGUGUUGGGCGACUUCCCGCCGGACGGGCGCGAGGACUGGGCCGCGGACGAGUUGGAGAGGAGCGUCGUGAGGGAGCGCGAGGGCAGGCGCCCGCUCCUGACCGGCGACGUCGGUCUCACCCUGAGGGACGGGCGCGCCACGGUGGGCGAGCUCCGGUUCACGGACAACUCGUCCUGGGUCCGCAGCCGCAGGUUCCGCAUCGCCGCCCGCGCGGCCUGCGGCGGCGGCGGCGGCGGCGGCGCGCGGGUCCAGGAGGCCGUGACGGAGGCCUUCGUGGUCAAGGACCACAGGGGCGAGCGGUGCCGCAAGCACUACCCGCCCGCCCUCACGGACGACGUGUGGAGGCUGGAGAAGAUCCGCAUGGGAGGCGCGUUCCACACGAGGCUGAUGUGCCGCAACGUCGGCACCGUGCAGGAGUUCGUCCGGAUGCUCAUGGUGAACCCCGACGAGCUUCGCGCGGUGAGUUUGCAUGCGUUCAGAACGCAGCUUGGCGUCCAUUUUCAUUUCAUUUCAUCAACCGUGCUAGCUUGUAGUAGUAAGUAACUACUGCAGUGCUAUUGAUUGUGGGUUUCUGUGGGGGAGGAGGGGUCAGAUUCUGGGCGACGGCAUGAGAGACCGCAUGUGGGAGGCGGCGACGAGGCACGCCAGGACCUGCGCCCCCGACGGCAAGGUGUACGCGCACGCCACGCCGCACGGCACCAUCUUCGUGGACUCCAUCUUCAACGUCGUGAGGGUCGACGUCGGCGGCGUCGAGUGGCCGCUGCAGCAGCUGAACAGGGGCCAGACGGUGAGUCCUCCGCCAGCGCCAUCUCAGAACAGAAGGUCAGAUGAGCAUGAGCUCCCAUUGGUUUUGUUCGUUCUGACAUGUACUCUCGUUCCGGCUCCGGCAGAUGAUGGUGCAGCAGAUGCUGCAGGACGCGUACGAGCACCGCCACAGCCUCCAGGACGCGGCCGAGGAGGCCUUCAUGCUCGACGGCCACACCGACACCAACGCUCCGCUGCUGCAGAGUAAAAGUGUCCCAACCAACUUUCCUUUCUAGUUGCAGACGGUUAGGAGUUCCGCCUGACCGCCUCGAUUAUUCCCCUGCUCUAACACCUUGUGCACGGGCGACCUGCAGACGCAGCGCACGUCGCGGCGCCGGCGCCGGUGGACACACCGCUCUGGUUCCAGAACGCCGCGGAGAUGGACUUCCCCGACGACGACGACGACGACGACGUGGUUCCCGUUCCCCAGGUCAACAGCUUCGGCUACCAGUGGACUGGCCAAGCGUUCCACAUGUGCGCUGGAUGGGUAAGCCCCGAAGAAGACAUGAACGAGGAACUCGAGUGAAGAUCGCUAGCAAGGUUCCAGCAACAGGAUGAACAUUAAAAAAAAACUACAACGUGGUUGUAUGUCCACGACCAGGAUCAUGUGUGUGAGUGUGUCUGUGUGUGUUCAUGUAACAGCAGGGUCUAAGGGUAGGUGAGUUCGAGCUGCCCUUCACUGCAUCGCCGGACGCGCCGCCGAGCGUCCGCGAGCAGCGAGAAGCGGCGAGCGAGCUAGUGCAGGAUUCUUUGGUUUGAUUCGUAUUCUUUGUUGUAAUUGUAAUCUCUCAGUUUUCCCGUUCAGCCUGGUCGUGGAGCGUCCUGCUCUGCUCCUGCUCCUGCUCCCAAAGAUGAGUUGAGUUGCAUGUAAAUGUAACGUCGGAGCAGCGACGCGUGGGGCUGGCUGGUAUAUGCCUACAACUACAAGGGCUAGCAGCAGAACUAGUUGAGUAAACAUAUACUAGUUCUGAUUUCUUCUUUGAUAUUUUUUCAAAACUUUUUUUUUUGUGUCCUGUAAACACCAAGGUCGCAAUAAAGAAAUGAAACCGCCUUUUUUUUACAUAAACACGAAUGUUCGAGGACUCUUGGUCUUUGUUGUGUCUCAAAAGUUAAACUAUGGCCCUCUUUGGCAGGCUCCUAACGACUUCGGCUCUAGCUUCUCUGGCUUCUUGGCUUCUUUAGAGGAGUCAGAGCUGUUUUGUAAUUCAUUUGGCAAAACAGCUUCUCACGAGGCGACGGUGGCAGACACUAUAAUUUCAUGAAAUAUUAUUGUGUGUCGGAUAGAAGGAGCCGUUAGAAGUUUGUUUUCUCGUGCUUCGGCUCCCAAUAGCAAAACGGCUCUGGCUCUUUGAUGACUCUCGGUGAGGAGCCAUUUUUUUAAGACCGUUUGGUACGGCUUCACGAAGAGCGAGAAAAAAGAGCCACCGAGAGAGCCCUGCCAAAGGGGGCCUAUAGCGCUGUGUCGGAGCAACUCUAGUAGAAUCCCUUAAAUCAGAGCGCUGCUUAUUUUUAAGGUCUCUAUUUUUUCUGUCUAUUCUGUUGUGUCCAAGUUUUUAAGAUAAUGUUUAGUUUCAUAGUGUAUUAGAAUGGAGCCGUUCUAUUCCAACGUUGAGGAUGUUCGAUUCGAUUCUAAGUUAAACGAAGCUGCUCUAACUUAGAAAUAUUCUUUGUAGCUGUUGAAUUUGGCGGCUCCCUAAAAUCGAUAACCGUGGCGACUCACGAGCGACACGCUCUUGUUCCAUUUACGUACAACGCUUCUCCUCUUCUCCCUCCCCUGCCUCCGCCAUGGCCACACAAUUGUCUAGUUGCUUCCUCCCAUUUUGAAUCUGAUCUGCCUCGCUAUUCCCAUCGCCUCCUCACUCUCCUGCCUCCACUCCCUAGUCGUCGCGCCUCUUUCGAGUAGCCAUGAACGAAGCCUUCACACGUGCAGCGGACGAUGACCUAAAGCUCAUCAAGCGUCUGGUCUUUCCCGGAGAGGGCAGGAUGCCCCCGUCGCGCUUGCACCUGGCAAUGGAGCGGGACAACCCUAUCACGGCGCUGUAGCCGCUUAUGUCGAUGGCGCCCAUGGCAUACGUGGUCAUCGUUGACCCGACUGUCGUAGGCAACUCUGACGUGCCCAACUAUCAAUCCCAAGUCAUAAGGUUUUAGGACUCUGCUCUUGCAUUGGAGCCUCCAAAAUGAGAAGUUCAAUAGUCAUCGACAGUGGUGAAGCUAGAGCAAAAUGUAAGGAGGUGCACAUCUCUUGUGGGUGCACAGGGAUAAAAUAUGGGUGAUACAUAUAUUGUAAAAAUUCGACUAUUAUAAUUGUUUUUGGGAUCUUUUGGGAUGCAUGUGCAUUCACAACGCACAACUUAGCUUCGCCCCUGGUCAUUGGUUUGUUGAUGAGCCUUUGAAGAUUAUUUUUCUUCUUCUGCUUUCCUACGAGGAUGUAGUACUCGUAUCACUCUCCUUGUAUUGUUUAGAUAAGGGGUUAUUUUUUCAUUUAAUUCCUACUUCUGCACUAAUGCCACAUUAUAUUUAUUUUUUAAGUAAAAUGCAUCAGUAGUCCUUGGAUUUGGCAUGAUGUAUCACAUGGGUCGUCAAACUUUUAAAACUACGAAAAUAGACCAUUGAACUUUACUUACCCAUGCAAAAUCAUAUAAAAAUCAGAUUUGUUCAAACUGUAUGGCGACGUGACAUGCCACAUUGGAGGCACGUUGGCGUCUCCCCACAUGUGUCGUGUGCCACCUGAUACGCACAGUCCCUGAAUUUGGAGUGUUGUGUCACUUAGGUCAUUGAACUUGGUAUGUUGUAUCGUUUGGGCCUUGAACUUUCAUCAGUGCACUCCAGUGUGGCACGUCAUAUUGACAUCCGGUUUGAGCGAAUCCAGUUUUGCACGAUUUUGCAUAGGUCGGCAAAGUUCAAAGACCCAUUUUCAUGGUCUUGUAAGUUCGUUGGCCCAAGUGACAAACCGUGUCAAGUUUAAGGACCGAUAAUACAUUUUAAUUUUUUAAGAGCUGAUUUAAUGAACAAAAAAAUGGAGGAAAUUCAUAGAGGGAGUACCCUAGCUAUUCAAUUUUGAAUAACGAGGAAUUUACCUCCAUGGAUCUUCUCCGUCCGAUUUCACUAGUCACCAAACAGCCCUAAGUACGGUUGUGCGAGUAGAAGGGGUCACGGCACCCAACAAUAAGCAGCCGAUGUAGAGGCUGGACCCGUUCGAUUAUCUUUUAGAAAAACAAUAAAUAGAUGCUUUUGCAUCGGUCGCAAAUUCACCCGGGCCCAGGCGUUACAAUGAUCGAGUGACGAGUGAUGUACGUCGUUAUCAUUGGUUACGUUCAAACCGCGUUAAAUUAUGCCACAUGAACCAAAUCCUCCUUAGAUGUUUGCUACUAGUAGUAGUAGUACUUUGUUGAUGUAGCUAGGACAACAAGUCGUGAUUAUUUUUCCGUACUAGAUAUGGUCAGAGGCCGCACAACAACCCCAUAUCCAUUCCACAACCAUUAGACGCGGGAUUGUCAGGAACAUGGGAUCUGCACAUGAGCAAGUGGAAGGCUGAAAGAGCAGAAGGUUGAGCGGAGGAGUAAUCUGUGUAAUUAAGUUUUGUUUGUGAUUAGGCCUAUUGGGCCAAGGGUUUGGGCCGUCUGGCCUUGUAAGGAGAGGGUGUACUUAAACCCUGAAUCAUCUGUUAAUCGGUAGACAAGAUAGAGAAGAAAAACAACCACCAAACAGAAUUUCUGUUACCUGCGCUUGUCCUUCCCUCGGAGGCAGCCACCGUGGGUGCUCACGUCGGAGUUGGCGCUACUCCGGCCACGGGUCUCACACUUGGUAUCAAAGACGGGUCAGCAGUCGUUGCUGGACAGCGAUCACCAGCGUUGUCAAUACGGCGCCUAUCACCAAACCAUCGAUGCAGACACGUUUUGUUUUGGAAGCCAUGGCGGAUCGAGAUAGGCAAACUCAGGAGAGUUUGAGCAAGGUCAUGGAGACUCUGGUAGUGGUGAGUGAUCGAUUGAAGGAUGUCGAGCACGUGCAACAGCAGAUGAUGAUGCGCACGGAUUUGGCUGCGUCUGUUGCUGAGCAGGCGACGAAGGAGCGAGUCGAGUUAUGUUGUAAGGUGGAAGAAACAGGGAAGGUGUUGGCCCAGAUACGUUUGGAAUUGAUGGGGAAGCAGUUGGAGGAUUCUUCUGGGGGAGCGGAAUUUCCAUCUUCAGCUCAUCAACAUCACAGUG